RNAcentral lists this ribosomal RNA (253 nucleotides) under uncultured bacterium. RNAcentral describes it as "partial 16S ribosomal RNA". It matches the Rfam family "Bacterial small subunit ribosomal RNA", at positions 524 to 776 of the family's 1533-position model. The record is from RNAcentral.
UACGGGGGGUGCGAGCGUUGUCCGGAUUUAUUGGGCGUAAAGAGCGUGUAGGCGGCCAGAUAGGUCCGUUGUGAAAACUGGAGGCUUAACCUCCAGCUGUCGAUGGAAACCAUCUGGCUAGAGUCCGGAAGAGGAGAGUGGAAUUCCUGGUGUAGCGGUGAAAUGCGCAGAUAUCAGGAGGAACACCGGUGGCGAAGGCGGGUCUCUGGGCCGUAACUGACGCUGAGGAGCGAAAGCGUGGGGAGCGAACAGG